This 255-nucleotide ribosomal RNA is filed under the name uncultured bacterium. Its description in RNAcentral is "partial 16S ribosomal RNA". It matches the Rfam family "Bacterial small subunit ribosomal RNA", at positions 524 to 776 of the family's 1533-position model. The record is from RNAcentral.
UACGUAGGGUGUAAGCGUUGUCCGGAAUUAUUGGGCGUAAAGAGCUCGUAGGCGGUUUGUCGCGUCUGCUGUGAAAAACGCGAGGCUCAACCUCGCGCCUGCAGUGGGUACGGGCAGACUAGAGUGUGGUAGGGGGAGAUUGGAAUUCCUGGUGUAGCGGUGGAAUGCGCAGAUAUCAGGAGGAACACCGAUGGCGAAGGCAGAUCUCUGGGCCAUUACUGACGCUGAGGAGCGAAAGCGUGGGUAGCAAACAGG